Molecule: transfer RNA, 65 nt
Filed under: Ceruchus minor
Lineage: Eukaryota; Metazoa; Arthropoda; Insecta; Coleoptera; Lucanidae
Description: tRNA-Leu
Source: RNAcentral
UCUAUUAUGGCAGAUUAGUGCAGUGGAUUUAAACCCCAUACAUAAAGAUCAUACUUUUCUUAGAA